AGGGCUAUAGCUCAGUUGGUAGAGCGCCUCGUUUACACACCGAGAUGGUCUACGGUUCGAGUCCGUAUAGCCCUA
Molecule: transfer RNA, 75 nt
Filed under: Lythrum salicaria
Lineage: Eukaryota; Viridiplantae; Streptophyta; Magnoliopsida; Myrtales; Lythraceae
Description: tRNA-Val
Rfam family: tRNA
About the family: Transfer RNA (tRNA) molecules are approximately 80 nucleotides in length. Their secondary structure includes four short double-helical elements and three loops (D, anti-codon, and T loops).
Source: RNAcentral